Molecule: ribosomal RNA, 734 nt
Filed under: uncultured organism
Description: bacterial SSU rRNA
Rfam family: Bacterial small subunit ribosomal RNA
Source: RNAcentral
GCGUGGGGAGCGAACGGGAUUAGAUACCCCGGUAGUCCACGCCGUAAACGUUGUGUACUAGGUGUUAGUGCUUUAAGCACUAGUGCCGACGCUAACGCAUUAAGUACACCGCCUGGGGAGUACGCCCGCAAGGGUUAAACUCAAAGAAAUUGACGGGGGCCCGCACAAGCGGUGGAGCAUGUGGUUUAAUUCGAUGAUACGCGAAGAACCUUACCAGGGCUUGAACUGUUUCUGACAGGUGUAGAGAUACACCCUCCUUCGGGCAGAUUCAGAGGUGCUGCAUGGUUGUCGUCAGCUCGUGUCGUGAGAUGUUGGGUUAAGUCCCGCAACGAGCGCAACCCUUACUCCUUGUUGCUAUCAGGUCAUGCUGGGCACUCUAGGGGAACUGCCGGUGAUAAACCGGAGGAAGGUGGGGAUGACGUCAAAUCAGCACGGCCCUUAUGUCCUGGGCUACACACGUGCUACAAUGGCCGGUACAAUGAGUUGCGAUGCCGCGAGGUGGAGCUAAUCUCAAAAAACCGGUCUCAGUUCGGAUUGCAGUCUGCAACUCGACUGCAUGAAGCUGGAAUCGCUAGUAAUCGGAGAUCAGCACGCUCCGGUGAAUACGUUCCCGGGCAUUGUACACACCGCCCGUCACACCAUCCGAGUUGGCAGCACCCGUAAGUGGCUNGAGCUAACCGUUUACGGAGGCAGGUUACUAAGUGAAGCUGUAAGGAGGGUGAAGUCGUAACAAG